Molecule: ribosomal RNA, 468 nt
Filed under: uncultured bacterium
Lineage: Bacteria
Description: partial 16S ribosomal RNA
Rfam family: Bacterial small subunit ribosomal RNA
Source: RNAcentral
GACGAACGCUGGCGGCGUGCUUAACACAUGCAAGUCGAACGGAAAGGCCCUGCUUUUGUGGGGUGCUCGAGUGGCGAACGGGUGAGUAACACGUGAGUAACCUGCCCUUGACUUUGGGAUAACUUCAGGAAACUGGGGCUAAUACCGGAUAGGAGCUCUUGCUGCAUGGUGGGGGUUGGAAAGUUUCGGCGGUUGGGGAUGGACUCGCGGCUUAUCAGCUUGUUGGUGGGGUAGUGGCUUACCACGGCUUUGAGGGGUAGCCGGCCUGAGAGGGUGACCGGCCACAUUGGGACUGAGAUACGGCCCAGACUCCUACGGGAGGCAGCAGUGGGGAAUAUUGCACAAUGGGCGGAAGCCUGAUGCAGCAACGCCGCGUGCGGGAUGACGGCCUUCGGGUUGUAAACCGCUUUCGCCUGUGACGAAGCGUGAGUGACGGUAAUGGGUAAAGAAGCACCGGCUAACUACGUG